UACGGAGGUUGCAAGCGUUAUCCGGAUUCACUGGGUUUAAAGGGUGCGUAGGCGGGUAUGUAAGUCAGUGGUGAAAUACCGGAGCUUAACUUCGGAACUGCCAUUGAUACUAUAUAUCUUGAAUAUUGUGGAGGUAAGCGGAAUAUGUCAUGUAGCGGUGAAAUGCUUAGAGAUGACAUAGAACACAGAUUGCGAAGGCAGCUUGCUACGCAAAUAUUGACGCUGAGGCACGAAAGCGUGGGGAUCAAACAGG
This 253-nucleotide ribosomal RNA is filed under the name uncultured bacterium. RNAcentral's name for it is "partial 16S ribosomal RNA". It matches the Rfam family "Bacterial small subunit ribosomal RNA", at positions 524 to 776 of the family's 1533-position model. The record is from RNAcentral.